This 1428-nucleotide ribosomal RNA is filed under the name Salmonella enterica subsp. enterica serovar Newport. RNAcentral's name for it is "bacterial SSU rRNA". It matches the Rfam family "Bacterial small subunit ribosomal RNA". Lineage: Bacteria; Pseudomonadati; Pseudomonadota; Gammaproteobacteria; Enterobacterales; Enterobacteriaceae. The record is from RNAcentral. RNAcentral also lists the same sequence under 1 other name.
GAGUAAUGUCUGGGAAACUGCCUGAUGGAGGGGGAUAACUACUGGAAACGGUGGCUAAUACCGCAUAACGUCGCAAGACCAAAGAGGGGGACCUUCGGGCCUCUUGCCAUCAGAUGUGCCCAGAUGGGAUUAGCUAGUUGGUGAGGUAACGGCUCACCAAGGCGACGAUCCCUAGCUGGUCUGAGAGGAUGACCAGCCACACUGGAACUGAGACACGGUCCAGACUCCUACGGGAGGCAGCAGUGGGGAAUAUUGCACAAUGGGCGCAAGCCUGAUGCAGCCAUGCCGCGUGUAUGAAGAAGGCCUUCGGGUUGUAAAGUACUUUCAGCGGGGAGGAAGGUGUUGUGGUUAAUAACCGCAGCAAUUGACGUUACCCGCAGAAGAAGCACCGGCUAACUCCGUGCCAGCAGCCGCGGUAAUACGGAGGGUGCAAGCGUUAAUCGGAAUUACUGGGCGUAAAGCGCACGCAGGCGGUCUGUCAAGUCGGAUGUGAAAUCCCCGGGCUCAACCUGGGAACUGCAUUCGAAACUGGCAGGCUUGAGUCUUGUAGAGGGGGGUAGAAUUCCAGGUGUAGCGGUGAAAUGCGUAGAGAUCUGGAGGAAUACCGGUGGCGAAGGCGGCCCCCUGGACAAAGACUGACGCUCAGGUGCGAAAGCGUGGGGAGCAAACAGGAUUAGAUACCCUGGUAGUCCACGCCGUAAACGAUGUCUACUUGGAGGUUGUGCCCUUGAGGCGUGGCUUCCGGAGCUAACGCGUUAAGUAGACCGCCUGGGGAGUACGGCCGCAAGGUUAAAACUCAAAUGAAUUGACGGGGGCCCGCACAAGCGGUGGAGCAUGUGGUUUAAUUCGAUGCAACGCGAAGAACCUUACCUGGUCUUGACAUCCACAGAACUUUCCAGAGAUGGAUUGGUGCCUUCGGGAACUGUGAGACAGGUGCUGCAUGGCUGUCGUCAGCUCGUGUUGUGAAAUGUUGGGUUAAGUCCCGCAACGAGCGCAACCCUUAUCCUUUGUUGCCAGCGGUCCGGCCGGGAACUCAAAGGAGACUGCCAGUGAUAAACUGGAGGAAGGUGGGGAUGACGUCAAGUCAUCAUGGCCCUUACGACCAGGGCUACACACGUGCUACAAUGGCGCAUACAAAGAGAAGCGACCUCGCGAGAGCAAGCGGACCUCAUAAAGUGCGUCGUAGUCCGGAUUGGAGUCUGCAACUCGACUCCAUGAAGUCGGAAUCGCUAGUAAUCGUGGAUCAGAAUGCCACGGUGAAUACGUUCCCGGGCCUUGUACACACCGCCCGUCACACCAUGGGAGUGGGUUGCAAAAGAAGUAGGUAGCUUAACCUUCGGGAGGGCGCUUACCACUUUGUGAUUCAUGACUGGGGUGAAGUCGUAACAAGGUAACCGUAGGGGAACCUGCGGUUGGAUCACCUCCUUA